Molecule: ribosomal RNA, 492 nt
Filed under: uncultured bacterium
Lineage: Bacteria
Description: partial 16S ribosomal RNA
Rfam family: Bacterial small subunit ribosomal RNA
Source: RNAcentral
AGUGAACGCUGGCGGUAGGCCUAACACAUGCAAGUCGAACGGCAGCACAGUAAGAGCUUGCUCUUACGGGUGGCGAGUGGCGGACGGGUGAGGAAUACAUCGGAAUCUACUUUUUCGUGGGGGAUAACGUAGGGAAACUUACGCUACUACCGCAUACGACCUACGGGUGAAAGCAGGGGAUCUUCGGACCUUGCGCGAUUGAAUGAGCCGAUGUCGGAUUAGCUAGUUGGCGGGGUAAAGGCCCAACAAGGCCAAGAUGCGUAGCUGGUCUGAGAGGAAGGAUCGGCCACACGGAAAUUGGGACACGUUCAGACCCCCUAGGGAAGGCAGCGGAGGGGAACAUUGGACAAGGGGCGCAGGCCUACGCCAGCCAGACCGCGGGGGUGAAGAAGGCCUUCGAGUUGUAAAGCCCUUUUGUUGGGAAAGAAAAGUAUCAGGUUAAUUCCCCGCUGUUCGGACGUUACCCAAAGAAUAAGCACCGGCAAACUUCGU